This 429-nucleotide long non-coding RNA is filed under the name Elaeis guineensis (African oil palm). RNAcentral describes it as "long non-coding RNA (EGUI_LNC035969)". Lineage: Eukaryota; Viridiplantae; Streptophyta; Magnoliopsida; Arecales; Arecaceae. The record is from RNAcentral.
UAAUUUUCUUUUGUUGUUUGAAUUAGUAUGCUGUUGCUCUAUUCUCCAUUGACAGCUAAUAGAUGCAAUUCUGCUUAGAUCUCAAUGUCGUGUAAGCUAAUGUCCGACAGGCCACCUGAUCUCGUUGAUGGGUAGACUCUUAUUGACUAGUUUCAUAAAAUGUUCCCCGCUUAGGAGUUACAGAUGCCAUCAUCGCAAAACAAUCAGGUCAUGUAAUGCCACCACUCUAAUGUAAAUAUAUAACAUGUCUGUGUGACAAAUAAAAAGCCAAAACCUCAUCAUAAUAGAACUAUUGGGACAAUUAGAUCUGCUCCCCUUGACUCACUGUCAGCCUCCCGACUAUGUGUCGGUAACAGAUGUUGGAUUGUUAAAACCAGAUCGUCAAAGGAGAUCCGAUUUGAUUACAGCAUCUACAAGACUAAUCACCCG